AGUGAACGCUGGCGGUAGGCCUAACACAUGCAAGUCGAACGGCAGCACAGUAAGAUCUUGCUCUUACGGGUGGCGAGUGGCGGACGGGUGAGGAAUACAUCGGAAUCUACUUUUUCGUGGGGGAUAACGUAGGGAAACUUACGCUAAUACCGCAUACGACCUACGGGUGAAAGCAGGGGAUCUUCGGACCUUGCGCGAUUGAAUGAGCCGAUGUCGGAUUAGCUAGUUGGCGGGGUAAAGGCCCACCAAGGCGACGAUCCGUAGCUGGUCUGAGAGGAUGAUCGGCCACACUGGAACUGAGACACGGUCCAGACUCCUACGGGAGGCAGCAGUGGGGAAUAUUGGACAAUGGGCGCAAGCCUGAUCCAGCCAUACCGCGUGGGUGAAGAAGGCCUUCGGUUCGUAAAGCCCUUUUGUGGGGAAAGAAAAGCAGCAGGUUAAUACGCCGCUGUUCUGACGGUACCCAAUGAAGAAGCACCGGCUAACUUCGUG
RNAcentral lists this ribosomal RNA (492 nucleotides) under uncultured bacterium. RNAcentral's name for it is "partial 16S ribosomal RNA". It matches the Rfam family "Bacterial small subunit ribosomal RNA", at positions 29 to 507 of the family's 1533-position model. The record is from RNAcentral.